Molecule: non-coding RNA, 74 nt
Organism: Rhipicephalus microplus (southern cattle tick)
Lineage: Eukaryota; Metazoa; Arthropoda; Arachnida; Ixodida; Ixodidae
Source: the annotation of a RefSeq genome assembly
UCCGGCAUGGUCUAGUGGCUAGGAUACCUGGCUCUCACCCAGGACGGCCCGGGUUCGAUUCCCCGGUGUCGUAA